RNAcentral lists this ribosomal RNA (480 nucleotides) under Vermamoeba vermiformis. RNAcentral's name for it is "SSU rRNA". The record is from RNAcentral. Lineage: Eukaryota; Tubulinea; Echinamoebida; Vermamoebidae.
UKUUUACGAGGUCAGGACACUGUGAGGAUUGACAGAUUGAAAGCUCUUUCUUGAUUCAGUGGGUGGUGGUGCAUGGCCGUUCUUAGUUGGUGGAGUGAUUUGUCUGGUUAAUUCCGUUAACGAACGAGACCUUAACCUGCUAAAUAGUCACGCGAACCGGUCCGCAAGGGCUCAAAGUUCGCGGCUCGACUUCUUAGAGGGACUAUUCGCACCCGCCAGCGAAUGGAAGUUUGAGGCAAUAACAGGUCUGUGAUGCCCUUAGAUGUUCUCGGCCGCACGCGCGUUACACUGACGGAGUCAACGAGCGUUUUUCCUUGCCCGAUAGGGYUGGGUAACCUCCUGAAACUCCGUCGUGAUGGGGAUAGAUCAUUGCAAUUAUUGAUCUUGAACGAGGAAUUCCUAGUAGGCGCGAGUCAUCAACUCGCGCCGAUUACGUCCCUGCCCUUUGUACACACCGCCCGUCGCUAWWGSGUUGSYYSG